GACGAACGCUGGCGGCGUGCUUAACACAUGCAAGUCGAACGGUAAGGCCCUUCGGGGGUACACGAGUGGCGAACGGGUGAGUAACACGUGGGUGAUCUGCCCUGCACUUCGGGAUAAGCCUGGGAAACUGGGUCUAAUACCGGAUAGGACCACUGCCUGCAUCGGAGGUGGUGGAAAGGUUUUGCGGUGUGGGAUGGGCCCGCGGGCUAGCAGCUUGUGGGUGGGGGGGUGGCCUACCAAGGCGACGGCGGGUAGCCGGCCCGAGAGGGUGACCGGCCACACUGGGACUGAGAUACGGCCCAGACUCCUACGGGAGGAAGCAGUGGGGAAUAUUGCACAAUGGGGGCAAGCCUGAUGCAGCGACGCCGCGUGAGGGAUGACGGCCUUCGGGUUGUAAACCUCUUUCAGCACCGACGAAGCGCAAGUGACGGUAGGUGCAGAAGAAGGACCGGCCAACUACGUGCCAGCCGCCGCGGUAA
RNAcentral lists this ribosomal RNA (479 nucleotides) under uncultured bacterium. Its description in RNAcentral is "partial 16S ribosomal RNA". It matches the Rfam family "Bacterial small subunit ribosomal RNA", at positions 28 to 523 of the family's 1533-position model. The record is from RNAcentral.